GAUGAACGCUGGCGGUAUGCUUAACACAUGCAAGUCGAACGGACUCUUCGGAGUUAGUGGCGGACGGGUGAGUAACGCGUGAGAAUCUGGCUUUGGGUUCGGGACAACCACUGGAAACGGUGGCUAAUACCGGAUGUGCCGAGAGGUAAAAGAGAAAUUGCCUGAAGAUGAGCUCGCGUCUGAUUAGCUAGUUGGUGAGGUAAAGGCUCACCAAGUCAGCGAUCAGUAGCUGGUCUGAGAGGAUGACCAGCCACACUGGGACUGAGACACGGAGCAGACUCCUACGGGAGGCAGCAGUGGGGAAUUUUCCGCAAUGGGCGAAAGGCUGACGGAGCAAUACCGCGUGAGGGAAGAAGGCUCUUGGGUUGUAAACCUCUUUUCUUAGGGAAGAACAAAAUGACGGUACCUAAGGAAUCAGCAUCGGCUAACUCCGUG
This 435-nucleotide ribosomal RNA is filed under the name uncultured bacterium. RNAcentral describes it as "partial 16S ribosomal RNA". It matches the Rfam family "Bacterial small subunit ribosomal RNA", at positions 28 to 507 of the family's 1533-position model. The record is from RNAcentral.